UACGUAUGGUGCAAGCGUUAUCCGGAUUUACUGGGUGUAAAGGGAGCGUAGACGGAGCAGCAAGUCUGAUGUGAAAACCCGGGGCUCAACCCCGGGAGUGCAUUGGAAACUGUUGAUCUAGAGUGCUGGAGAGGUAAGUGGAAUUCCUAGUGUAGCGGUGAAAUGCGUAGAUAUUAGGAGGAACACCAGUGGCGAAGGCGGCUUACUGGACAGUGACUGACGUUGAGGCUCGAAAGCGUGGGGAGCAAACAGG
RNAcentral lists this ribosomal RNA (253 nucleotides) under [Ruminococcus] torques ATCC 27756. RNAcentral describes it as "partial 16S ribosomal RNA". It matches the Rfam family "Bacterial small subunit ribosomal RNA", at positions 524 to 776 of the family's 1533-position model. The record is from RNAcentral. Lineage: Bacteria; Bacillati; Bacillota; Clostridia; Lachnospirales; Lachnospiraceae.